GACGAAGGCCGAUCUGAUGUCGGAGACAGACGAAGACGAGGCCGGAAGUCUGGGCGGUCUGGACUGAUGUCGGAGACAGACGAAGACGAGGCCGGAAGCGGGGCGACGCCGGACUGAUGGGAUUCGGAAGCGGGGCGAUCUGUUGCCGGACACAAGACGAGCCGGUCUGGACUGAAGGUCUGGGCGAUCUGUUGCUGAAGACGCAGUCGAGCGAGCGAAGGCUCUUGCUGAAGACGGCGUCGAGCGAACAAACAAGAUGAAGAGGACGUCUAAACGACGUCG
RNAcentral lists this long non-coding RNA (282 nucleotides) under Rosa chinensis. Its description in RNAcentral is "sRNA RchiOBHm_Chr4g0394261". The record is from RNAcentral. Lineage: Eukaryota; Viridiplantae; Streptophyta; Magnoliopsida; Rosales; Rosaceae.